CCUGAAACAGGGUUCAAGGCUUCAACACACCUCAGUUCUAUGCUGGUUUGAAUCACACAUCCUCCCAGGCACCCCAGGGAUUCAAGGCCCUCUGUGGGUUUGAGGAGUAACAGUGACAGAGAAGAGAAUGAGGGGUAUAAAAAACACUGCACACAGAGUAGGAGCCUGUGCCUGUGGACAGCUCAAGGAAGAGAAGGCAAAGCUGCCCAAGGUUUCACCAGUGUCCUCCUUCAAACGUGGCCUGAGCAUGGCAAUAUCAUGGAGCUCCUUUUUCUGAGAAGACAUUAGUUUUCACUCUACUUGGAAUGCUUAAUAAAAAC
Passer domesticus (house sparrow) is the source of this 320-nucleotide long non-coding RNA. RefSeq lists it as uncharacterized. The transcript is spliced from 3 exons. The record is from RefSeq and is a predicted model, not a curated record. NCBI's taxonomy places the organism in Eukaryota, Metazoa, Chordata, Aves, Passeriformes, Passeridae.